GACGAACGCUGGCGGCGUGCUUAACACAUGCAAGUCGAACGAAGUGGCGAACGGGUGAGUAACGCGUAAUCAACCUGCCUUUCAAAGGGGGACAACAGUUGGAAACGACUGCUAAUACCGCAUACUGAAGGAGGGGCUUGCGUCUGAUUAGUUAGUAGGAGGGGUAACGGCCCAACAAGGCGAUGAUCAGUAUGCGGUCUGAGGGGAUGAACGGCAAACUUGGGACUGGGACACGGCCCAGACUCCUACGGGAGGCAGCAGUGGGGAAUCAUCCGAAAUGGACGAAAGUCUGACGGAGCAACGCCGCGUGAGUGAUGACGGCCUUCGGGUUGUAAAGCUCUGUUAAUCGGGACGCGGUACCGGAAUAGAAAGCCACGGCUAACUACGUGCCAGCCGCCGCGGUAAUUC
RNAcentral lists this ribosomal RNA (408 nucleotides) under uncultured bacterium. RNAcentral's name for it is "partial 16S ribosomal RNA". It matches the Rfam family "Bacterial small subunit ribosomal RNA", at positions 28 to 526 of the family's 1533-position model. The record is from RNAcentral.